UCCGUAGGUGAACCUGCGGAAGGAUCAUUGUCGAAACCUGCAUGGCAGAACGACCCGCGAACGUGUUAUCAACGAACAAUGGGAGGGGGUACGGAGGCAUCCGUCCCCUCCUCGCCCCGGGGCCCUCUGUCGCUGCCUCCCCGAUACCGCACGGUUCCGUGGGAGGCACGGCCUCGUGCCUCCGAGGCCAAACGAACAACCCCCGGCGUGAAUCACGCCAAGGAAUCGGAAUGAAAGGAUGCACUCCCUCGUCGCCGCCCCGUUCGCGGCCCGCGCGCGGCAGGGAAGCUGCGACUUCGUCGUUAAUAAACAGAACGACUCUCGGCAACGGAUAUCUCGGCUCUCGCAUCGAUGAAGAACGUAGCGAAAUGCGAUACUUGGUGUGAAUUGCAGAAUCCCGUGAACCAUCGAGUCUUUGAACGCAAGUUGCGCCCCAAGCCAUUAGGCCGAGGGCACGUCUGCCUGGGUGUCACGCAUCGUUGCUCCCACACAACCCUUACCCACCGGGGAAUCGGUUGACGUGUGGGCGGACAAUGGCCUCCCGUGCGCACACCGCUCUCGGUUGGCCUAAAAUCGAGUCAUCGGCGACCACGGUGCCACGACGAUCGGUGGUGACGCUUCGAGCUCCCUCGUUCCGAGUCGUGUGCCCCCGUCGAUCCGGACUCUUUGACCCCUUCGGCAUCGCAAGCACGGUGCCCGCAUCGCGACCCCAGGUCAGGCGGGAUUACCCGCUGAGUUUA
Molecule: ribosomal RNA, 740 nt
Filed under: Thepparatia thailandica
Lineage: Eukaryota; Viridiplantae; Streptophyta; Magnoliopsida; Malvales; Malvaceae
Description: eukaryotic LSU rRNA
Rfam family: 5.8S ribosomal RNA (bases 317-472)
Source: RNAcentral